Molecule: ribosomal RNA, 1016 nt
Filed under: Austrodytes plateni
Lineage: Eukaryota; Metazoa; Arthropoda; Insecta; Coleoptera; Dytiscidae
Description: SSU rRNA
Rfam family: Eukaryotic small subunit ribosomal RNA
Source: RNAcentral
UGGUUGAUCCUGCCAGUAGUCAUAUGCUUGUCUCAAAGAUUAAGCCAUGCAUGUCUCAGUACAAGCCAGAUUAAGGUGAAACCGCGAAAGGCUCAUUAAAUCAGUUAUGGUUCCUUAGAUCGUACCCACAUUUACUUGGAUAACUGUGGUAAUUCUAGAGCUAAUACAUGCAAACAGAGCUCCGACCGGAUACGGAAGGAGUGCUUUUAUUAGAUCAAGGCCAAUCGGCGGCGGGCGCGUUCGCUCGCGUCCGUUUGCCGCUCAACCUGGUGACUCUGAAUAACUUUCGGCUGAUCGCACGGUCUCGCACCGGCGACGCAUCUUUCAAAUGUCUGCCUUAUCAACUGUCGAUGGUAGGUUCUGCGCCUACCAUGGUCGUAACGGGUAACGGGGAAUCAGGGUUCGAUUCCGGAGAGGGAGCCUGAGAAACGGCUACCACAUCCAAGGAAGGCAGCAGGCGCGCAAAUUACCCACUCCCGGCACGGGGAGGUAGUGACGAAAAAUAACGAUACGGGACUCAUCCGAGGCCCCGUAAUCGGAAUGAGUACACUUUAAAUCCUUUAACGAGGAUCAAUUGGAGGGCAAGUCUGGUGCCAGCAGCCGCGGUAAUUCCAGCUCCAAUAGCGUAUAUUAAAGUUGUUGCGGUUAAAAAGCUCGUAGUUGAAUCUGUGUCUCGCGCUGUCGGUUCACCGCCCGCGGUGUUAAACUGGCACGCCCGCGAGACGUCCUGCCGGUGGGCGCGCGGUGCGGAACGUCAACGGCGCCCGUGCCGCGUCCCGACUUGAUAACCUGCCACGGUGCUUUUUAACGAGUGUCGAGGUGGGCCGGCACGUUUACUUUGAACAAAUUAGAGUGCUCAAAGCAGGCUAAAACUUCGCCUGAAUACUGUGUGCAUGGAAUAAUGGAACAGGACCUCGGUUCUAUUUUGUUGGUUUUAGGAMCACCGAGGUAAUGAUUAAUAGGGACAGAUGGGGGCAUUCGUAUUGCGACGUUAGAGGUGAAAUUCUUGGAUCGUC